UGAGGAAUAUUGCGCAAUGGGGGCAACCCUGACGCAGCAACGCCGCGUGAGUGAGGAAGGUUUUCGGACCGUAAAGCUCUGUCGAGCGGGAAGAAAUGUAUCGUGGCUAAUAUCCAUGAUAUUUGACGGUACCGCUAAAGGAAGCACCGGCUAACUCCGUGCCAGCAGCCGCGGUAAUACGGGGGGUGCAAGCGUUGUUCGGAAUUAUUGGGCGUAAAGAGCGUGUAGGCGGCUGAAUAAGUCAGAUGUGAAAUCCCUGGGCUCAACUCAUGAACUGCAUUUGAAACUGUUGGUCUUGAGUGUCGGAGAGGCAAGCGGAAUUCCUAGUGUAGCGGUGAAAUGCGUAGAUAUUAGGAGGAACACCAGUGGCGAAGGCGGCUUGCUGGACGAUAACUGACGCUGAGGCGCGAAAGCGUGGGGAGCAAACA
This 428-nucleotide ribosomal RNA is filed under the name uncultured prokaryote. RNAcentral describes it as "bacterial SSU rRNA". It matches the Rfam family "Bacterial small subunit ribosomal RNA", at positions 355 to 774 of the family's 1533-position model. The record is from RNAcentral.